Molecule: ribosomal RNA, 506 nt
Filed under: uncultured bacterium
Lineage: Bacteria
Description: partial 16S ribosomal RNA
Rfam family: Bacterial small subunit ribosomal RNA
Source: RNAcentral
AGUGAACGCUGGCGGUAGGCCUAACACAUGCAAGUCGAACGGCAGCACAGGAGAGCUUGCUCUCUGGGUGGCGAGUGGCGGACGGGUGAGGAAUACAUCGGAAUCUACUCUGUCGUGGGGGAUAACGUAGGGAAACUUACGCUAAUACCGCAUACGACCUACGGGUGAAAGCAGGGGACCUUCGGGCCUUGCGCGAUUGAAUGAGCCGAUGUCGGAUUAGCUAGUUGGCGGGGUAAAGGCCCACCAAAGCGACGAUCCGUAGCUGGUCUGUGAGGGUGAUCAGGCACACUGGAACUGAGAAGCGGUCCAGACUCCUACGGGAGGCAGCAGUGGGGAAUAUUGGACAAUGGGCGCAAGCCUGAUCCAGCCAUCCCGCGUGGGUGAAGAAGGCCUCCGGGUUGUAAAGCCCUUUUGUUGGGAAAGAAAUCCAGCUGGCUAAUACCCGGUUGGGAUGACGGUACCCAAAGAAUAAGCACCGGCUAACUUCGUGCCAGCCGCCGCGGUAA